CGUUAGUUCUCGCGUUAAUUCCGGCCGCGUUACAGGCACGCUCGCGACACGCUCUCGCACUCUGACAGCGACUGACAAUUUCCCCGUGCAACGAGUGAAUGCGGAUUUGGAAAGUAUGAGGAUCCGGGUUGGUGAUUUGCAGGACGCUUAAGUGAGAUCUUGAAAACGAAUCCUCAAGAAUCCUUCAUUUACUCAUAGUUUAUCAAAGAUGAUAUAACUGAAUACUUCGAACAAUACGCAGGACACGCGAUGAAUUGCCCAGCUUUUAUAUAUGCAUUUCCAAGAACUCUGACAGUGCGUUCUAACGGACAAUUAAAACGAAGAUGUGCAACGAAAAGGAACGAACAAUUGGGAACUCGGAAAAAA
Long non-coding RNA from Ooceraea biroi (clonal raider ant), 366 nucleotides. RefSeq lists it as uncharacterized. Lineage: Eukaryota; Metazoa; Arthropoda; Insecta; Hymenoptera; Formicidae. The record is from RefSeq and is a predicted model, not a curated record.